GGAGGAAGGCAUUGAUGCUUUCCCCAUAGACCCUACAGGCUUCUGGUUGGAGCCAUAAGGAAAUGAGAGGAAGAAUUAGCCUGUUUGUGUGACUGGGCUCCUGUAAAUAUUUUGAUACAUCUGCUGCCAGCUCCGGUCUAAGGGAAUCUACCUAGCAUUUAAAUUUUGAUGGGGAGCUGUUUUGAAUAAUAAGAGUGCAGCCGGCUGUGAGUCAGUGUGCAUGUGUGUUGACUGAAGGGAAGGGAGUGAAAGGGGGGGGGGGCUCAAAAGCUUUAACGUUUGCUGAACGGCGAGCUGCAGUGCUUCGCUUUUGCCUCCCUCCUCCUUUUUAGCUAGUAGAUAUUCCAAACAGAUUUNUGUGUGUGUGUGUGUGUACGCGCGCGCGCGCCUGUCUAUGUUCACUGGGAGGAGGGCGGAAUUAAAGAAAAAUAUAUAGCCCUUCACCCAGUAGCCGUUGCAAUGGGUGCUGUAAUGGGCACGUUUUCUUCUCUGCAAACCAAACAAAGAAGACCCUCGAGAGGAUUAUGCAAAAUUUGCUCCUUUAACUUAAAGAAGAUAAGAUGCACAGGACAUGUGAUUCCUCAGGUUCUUCUCGUAGAUGAAGACCUGGCCUGCCAAAAGUGGAACAGACUUUUUUGCUGUUGUGCUGCAGGGCCAGACUAG
Molecule: long non-coding RNA, 663 nt
Filed under: Salvator merianae (Argentine black and white tegu)
Lineage: Eukaryota; Metazoa; Chordata; Lepidosauria; Squamata; Teiidae
Description: lncRNA (ENSSMRG00000001486.1)
Source: RNAcentral